CCUUAUCAUUGACGUAAAUUUCUUGUCAGCAAAUUUUAAGUCUGCUCUCUUUAAGAAUAUUAAAUUUUUUUGCACACAUGUUUAUUCAAUCGGCCUUUUAUAACUCGGCAUUUUCACGAAUUCCCAAAAUGAUAACGUAAUGCAGACAGUAAGGCUGGUUGUUCUCAUCACAAUCGAAUAUCAGAAAUGAAAAUUUACUCUUCAACAAUGAAAAUACUGACUACUACUGUGGAAAUAAGUGUGGAUUUGGAUAUGCGGGUGAUCUGCGCUACGUUCGCUAUUGCUCUACUCCUUCCACUUCUGUUCAGCUACUUGCGAAGAUAUCUCUACGGCAUCGCAUUUCGGGAAUAAUGAUCGCAGUUCGUCACUGCAUGCACGGUUCAGUUGGAGGAUGAUUACAGCCACCGCCGGAUCUUAGCGGACAGCAGUGAACAACCGUGGACACCGCUAGACAAUAGCGGAUACUAGGUAUCCGGACAAUGGCGGGUACCGGACUACAGCAACUACCAGCGGCCGGAUAACAGUGGACACCGGACAACAGCAGACAGUGGACAGAUACGGACACCGCUGGGCAUUGGCGGACACCGGACUGUAGCGGGAGGCGGACUACAGAAAAUAUCAGCGGCCGGAUAACAGUGGACACCGGACAACAGCAGACAGUGGACAGCAAUGGACACUGCCGAACAGCGGUGAAUAUAUUGGACAGCAGCGGACAAAGGACAGCACCAGACAGAAGCGAACACCGAAAAGUGACGGACACUGGAUUGAAGUGGACACCGGCAAGAUGUGGGCACCCGUCCGACGAAAAAGGGGCACCAACCAGCCGCUAUUGACCGAGUACCGACCAAGGAUCCAUCGGUCAGUUCGGUCCAUACAGCUGCUACCGCUGA
This is a long non-coding RNA of Amphibalanus amphitrite, 890 nucleotides long. RefSeq lists it as uncharacterized. NCBI's taxonomy places the organism in Eukaryota, Metazoa, Arthropoda, Thecostraca, Balanomorpha, Balanidae. The transcript is spliced from 2 exons. The record is from RefSeq and is a predicted model, not a curated record.